CUCCCUCUGCGUCUCUCCCUUCCCCCAACGUCUCUCUCUCUCAACUCUCUCUCGCUACUGCCUGAAAACGGCGGCCACCACCGGUUGCGCCGGCGCUGCUCCGGCCACCGCCGUUGCCAUUGCUCGGAAGAAAUUAAGAGGAAUUGAAAACUCAUUUAAAAAGGACCGAGGAGUGCCGCCCCUUUGCCGGAUUUCGCCACCACCGCCGGGCUGCCGCCGCCGCCACCGUCGGGCUGCCGGAGAGCAGAAUUCCAGCCAAGGACAUGGUUUGAAGAGAAAUAAUGGGCAUUCAAGAAGAAGGAAUGGUUAUUCGAGAAGUUCCUAUUGUAGAGUACUAAUACUAGAGAGUUGAUAAUUAUAUUCACAUGUAUUGCUAUUGUAUUACUCAUGUUAAAGAGCAUUAUCUCAUAUAUGUACAUGGACACUUAAUAUUCUUCUACUAUAGUUGCUCUUGCAUAAA
This is a long non-coding RNA of Salvia hispanica, 460 nucleotides long. RefSeq lists it as uncharacterized. The record is from RefSeq and is a predicted model, not a curated record. Lineage: Eukaryota; Viridiplantae; Streptophyta; Magnoliopsida; Lamiales; Lamiaceae.